Molecule: non-coding RNA, 3253 nt
Organism: Salvelinus sp. IW2-2015
Lineage: Eukaryota; Metazoa; Chordata; Actinopteri; Salmoniformes; Salmonidae
Source: RefSeq, a predicted model, not a curated record
CCGGUCUCAAGUUUUUUGAAAACCUUGAUUUUGUGAAAAAUAAUACAGGGCCUAGAACAAUCUUUAUGGAGAAUUCCAGUUUGCUACAAUAGCUUUUAUUCCCAUGUUGAAUUUCUAUCAAUCUCAUAYCAAUACAACUUCAAUACGAUAGGGGCGCAGUGAAGCUAGGACUGCUGCAUAGUCACAUGCCAAGAGGCGACAAGGAAAGAGGAAACUUAUGAUACAAUGUAUCGAUGAUAGACUUUUUUUGGUUACAUUAUAGCCUACAAGUUUGCUGUAGGUUGUAACUGUUUCAUACUUUUUUUGCGGUGUAAUAAGCGUGUGCUUGCAUUUUGGAUGGCAACAUUGUCGUAUAAUGUUACCACUGCAACACAGCCUUGUUACUAGAUAGGCUAGUCGUUCUAAACUCGAAAGUCGAAGAAGGAAACAUCAUAAAUGUUAGGAGCCUAUUUUCUUCAGCAAUAUUAUGUUGUUUUGCCAAUGUUUUCCGCGUGCAACAUUACUCUGCGGGUUGAUCUUGCAACGUGCUAAASGAGCAGUUAAAAUCAUGUCAACUCAGGACGCCUCACAACACGAUUUUAACCAGAAGCGAUUGAUAGCCAACAAUAGCGGAUCAUUACAGAUUCAUACAACUAAAGCAGACCGUGAAGACUCGGAUACCGGUGUCAAGACAAGCAACGACAUGCAAGAAACAAACAGAAAAACWGAAAAACAGUUCACAGAGGACGAACUUGCCAUACAUAAAUUACACAGAGAAGCAUGUGAGGCUAAGAGGCAGAUGUACACGGACCCAGGCAGCGGGUACAAGGUGUUGACAGAGUUUGCCACCGCCAGAGAGGAAAGUGCUGUGGCAGGCCUGUAGACAUUGUCCAUUUGGCCAAGUCAACGUGAAAGACCCAGCCAACAAGAAACAUUUUAACUCUAUGUAUUAUGUAUAAUACACCAAGCACACUCAGGUUCAGUGUACAAGGCAUGAUAUAGUCUGUGUACUGUGCUGUUAUUUUGGACAGUUUCAAUGGUGUGUUUUUUUUUUCCAGCACCGCGCUAAAUGAUGAAAUUUAGAGUGGUGUGUGUGCAAUCCUCUCCUGCUAUGAAUUCUCCGUGUGAUUUUAGUCUCUACAGUAGGACACUGGAAAGGGGGUCGGUCUCUGGAGUCUAAAUUUGGUUUUUGAAUUUUACCCUGUCAAUGAUUUUGUUCAUUUUUCCUCAAUGAUACAAUGAAAAUAUAUAUUUUUUUAACCUUGAUUGAUGAUGACUUGACAGGUAUUAUUGUUAUUUGAUUGAAUGUCUGAGAUGGUGAUGUUACUAUAUAGAUUUUCAGAGGGAGUGUAUGAGAUGGACAUCCAUCUCUCUACUGUCCCUUUAUCUUCCAAAAUGUACACAUAUGCACAUUUUUGAAACAUUUUAAACACAAAAACACUGAGUUGUCUGCCUCCAACUGAAAGGGAUGUGCAGUUUAAAUAGUCACCAGGUCAAGGUUCAUCUCUCAGCCUGGCUCGCUGGUUGAACGUCAGCUGAUGGAGUCAACCUGUUCACAUACAAACGGUGGACAUCAACAGGCUCUCUCCCUCCUGUAUUUCCCAAGGAGCCUUCUGGCAACGCAGGGCUUCUCCAUGUCUCCCUGCAGCUGCUCCCCCGACACACAGCCCUAAUGAACGCUGGGUUACUCACUAGCCCUGCAACACUGGGUGGCAGACCACCCCGCACCAACACACACACAGGCAUGGGGACACACGGGCACACAUGCAUGCAUGCACACACAAAUACACAGUAGUGGACACAAAAAUACACAGACAUAGACAGGCACACAAAAUGGCAAUGGGUAGCCUCUAGGUAGGUAGCCUCUAAAAUCAGACUAGGUAUUGUACAAGAUACUGCACAGAGUAGACCUAAAGCCAGAGUAAGCUGAGGAUAACCUUCCAUUAGAGUACUGUGUGUGUUAAACCAGAGCAGUUUUAAUCUGUGUGACUUCUCACUAAGCACAGAAGUCAAUUCAAUGUCUAUUCUACGUUGGUUCAACGUCAUUUCCUUAAAAUGACUUGGAAACAAUGUUGAUUCAGCCAGUGUGUGCCCAGUGGGUUGUGGGUAGGGGCACUGGCUCCUAACCUGCCACACACUCUCCUGUAUCAAUUUGAUCGGGCAAACGGUGUCAGGAUGAGUGAGUGUGUCUGCCGRGGAAUCCUUUCGCAGCCGUCUACUGGCCCGGACAGGUGGGUCCCAAAGGCAAAGUGCUUAGUGAUCAGGAGCAAACCCCAGCGAGCGGCUACAAGGAAAUUCAUGAUCCCAACAGUGCUGAGCAGGACAGGUUCACCGCGACGCGUCGUCAGCCUGGAUGAGAGGCAAAUUUAUUUGGGCGACGGUUGUGAAGCGAGGCAGCAGAGCGUAGCGGCAACAACACUUCGUUCGCCAUUCCGGGUAGAAGGUGUCACAGUCAUCAAGUACCUGGGCCCGCCUGCCUGCCUGCCUGCCUGCCYCAGGUCUGGGAGUUUUGCCUAGGGACUUGUCUGUCACAUUACGCUAGAUGCAUUGCCAUUCCAGGGCCUGCGCGCUCCUGCAGCCUGACCAUGAAAUAGGCCAACUUUSAUGUCUGCCUCAUCUCUCUCCGUCGCCUCACUCCACUGAUGACACAGUUGGAAAGGUAUUUCUUCUUCUGUGCUACUGAGACACAGCAGCACAGCUCUCAGUCAGUCCCUCCGCAGCGCUAGCUAGACAUAUAUCUGGGAAACUCAUGGUAGCCAGAAGCAGGAAACUGGAAAUGUCCCCGCUCUCUCCAGGCUUGUCAUGUUGUCAGGCCCUUUUCAUGACAUACAGGGCUAUAUUCUAUUCUGGAUUUUCUAUUUCUUUACCUUUGAUAUUGAAUAGUGCCUCUGUUUAGAUUUGUUUUUUUCAAUGUGAUGAGGAAAUGUGAAAAAUGUGUCUUAUUCAAUUUUGAGAAAUAUUGUGCGUGAUUUGGAAUAGGCUAUUGGCAUAGUAUCAAAUGCAUUGAACUGCCACAGCCUAUUAUAAUGCAUGUUAGAAAAUGUAUUUCAUCAUAUGAUUUGAAAAAAGGGUGGCUGUUUAUAACUGUUGUAGCCUGUGCAUGUGACAAAUAACCUUUGUUUUUGAUAUAUUUGUGCAUUCUGGAAUUCUUUAGAAUAUCUCAGGGAAUGUUUUCAAUAUUUUAACCUGUAUUUAAUGUUAUUGUCCUGUGCAAUAAUUAUUAGUAUUGCAUGUAUGUGUAAACAUACAUGGUUAGGGUAUGUGUAAACAUAGA